This is a non-coding RNA of Monodelphis domestica (gray short-tailed opossum), 390 nucleotides long. NCBI's taxonomy places the organism in Eukaryota, Metazoa, Chordata, Mammalia, Didelphimorphia, Didelphidae. The record is from RefSeq and is a predicted model, not a curated record.
GAAAGCCUGAAGCUGGAAAGGCAGUGUUCACGCUGGUGUGUCCAAUGCCAUCCCCUGGCAGAAAGCAUUGUCAUUCUCCCCAGAAGAAUCUUUGAAGGAUAGGCUGCUGCCCUCCAUUGUAACUAAGUCUUCUCUGAUGCUAACCACUACCCUCCUAAGCUCCCACAUCCCCUAUCCAGCCACACAUAUAUUGGAUUGUGCUCUGUGCUCACCCUCUCCCCUUUAAUGGACCGAAUUAGACCUAGGGGCAGCUCAGCUCUCUCAAGGUUGCUAGUUUAUGAAAACACAUCUUCCCAGAGCUUUCUUGGUCCUACUUCACAAUCCUUGUCCAGCCCCACAAUCAAUCGUCCCACCUGAUUAAACAUCAUUCACUUCUCUGUUAACUCCUGA